RNAcentral lists this small RNA (244 nucleotides) under Arabidopsis thaliana (thale cress). RNAcentral describes it as "ATSL196200". The record is from RNAcentral. Lineage: Eukaryota; Viridiplantae; Streptophyta; Magnoliopsida; Brassicales; Brassicaceae.
CCUAAUCAAUUAAAAAUAGUUAAUUUGAAACAUAUCACUCGAAACUAGGGUAUUAGUUGGAUUGACGAUAUUUUUCUUAUUAAUAUCAACGAGAAGAAUCAAGUGUCGUUAGCUCAAUUGGUAAAAAAUUUAGGCAAAGCUUAGAGAUGUCUAUUUGAGUGACGCUUGGAACAAAAAUUACAUGCUAUGGUUUCAGGCCUAGAGAAAUGCUUCGAUCCAGAAUCUCUUGAUAUUCAAAAAAAAA